GUCUGCAACUCGACUGCAUGAAGCUGGAAUCGCUAGUAAUCGCGGAUCAGAAUGCCGCGGUGAAUACGUUCCCGGGUCUUGUACACACCGCCCGUCACACCAUGGGAGUCAGUAACGCCCGAAGUCAGUGACCGAACCGAGAGGACGGAGCUGCCGAAGGCGGGACGGAUAACUGGGGUGAAGUCGUAACAAGGUAAC
RNAcentral lists this ribosomal RNA (198 nucleotides) under uncultured bacterium. RNAcentral's name for it is "partial 16S ribosomal RNA". It matches the Rfam family "Bacterial small subunit ribosomal RNA", at positions 1303 to 1500 of the family's 1533-position model. The record is from RNAcentral.